GAUGAAGAACGCAGCGAAAUGCGGUAAGUAAUGUGAAUUGCAGAAUCCAGUGAAUCAUCGAAUCUUUGAACGCACAUUGCGCCCGCCAGCAUUCUGGCGGGCAUGCCUGUUCGAGCGUCAUUUCAACCCUCGACCUCCCUUUGGGGAAGUCGGCGUUGGGGACCGGCAGCACACCGCCGGCCCUGAAAUGGAGUGGCGGCCCGUCCGCGGCGACCUCUGCGUAGUAAUCCAACUCGCACCGGAACCCCGACGCGGCCACGCCGUAAAACACCCAACUUCUGAACGUUGACCUCGAAUCAGGUAGGACUACCCGCUGAACUUAAGCAUAUCAAUAAGCGAGGA
This 342-nucleotide unclassified non-coding RNA is filed under the name soil metagenome. RNAcentral's name for it is "partial contains 5.8S ribosomal RNA, internal transcribed spacer 2, and large subunit ribosomal RNA". The stretch from base 1 to 120 matches the Rfam family "5.8S ribosomal RNA", at positions 35 to 154 of the family's 154-position model. The record is from RNAcentral.